This 745-nucleotide ribosomal RNA is filed under the name uncultured bacterium. Its description in RNAcentral is "bacterial SSU rRNA". It matches the Rfam family "Bacterial small subunit ribosomal RNA", at positions 33 to 773 of the family's 1533-position model. The record is from RNAcentral.
ACGCUGGCGGCAGGCCUAACACAUGCAAGUCGAGCGGUAGAGAGAAGCUUGCUUCUCUUGAGAGCGGCGGACGGGUGAGUAAUGCCUAGGAAUCUGCCUGGUAGUGGGGGAUAACGUUCGGAAACGGACGCUAAUACCGCAUACGUCCUACGGGAGAAAGCAGGGGACCUUCGGGCCUUGCGCUAUCAGAUGAGCCUAGGUCGGAUUAGCUAGUUGGUGGGGUAAUGGCUCACCAAGGCGACGAUCCGUAACUGGUCUGAGAGGAUGAUCAGUCACACUGGAACUGAGACACGGUCCAGACUCCUACGGGAGGCAGCAGUGGGGAAUAUUGGACAAUGGGCGAAAGCCUGAUCCAGCCAUGCCGCGUGUGUGAAGAAGGUCUUCGGAUUGUAAAGCACUUUAAGUUGGGAGGAAGGGUUGUAGAUUAAUACUCUGCAAUUUUGACGUUACCGACAGAAUAAGCACCGGCUAACUCUGUGCCAGCAGCCGCGGUAAUACAGAGGGUGCAAGCGUUAAUCGGAAUUACUGGGCGUAAAGCGCGCGUAGGUGGUUAGUUAAGUUGGAUGUGAAAUCCCCGGGCUCAACCUGGGAACUGCAUUCAAAACUGACUGACUAGAGUAUGGUAGAGGGUGGUGGAAUUUCCUGUGUAGCGGUGGAAUGCGUAGAUAUAGGAAGGAACACCAGUGGCGAAGGCGACCACCUGGACUGAUACUGACACUGAGGUGCGAAAGCGUGGGGAGCAAAC